GAGUGUCACAUUAUCAAGCCUAAUCACUAACAUAUCAUUGACACAUCAUUGAAGGUGAUAACGUGACAAUGAUGUGUCAAUGGUAAGGUGUGAUGAUGUGACAUUCUGU
Non-coding RNA from Glycine soja, 109 nucleotides. Lineage: Eukaryota; Viridiplantae; Streptophyta; Magnoliopsida; Fabales; Fabaceae. The record is from Rfam.